Molecule: small RNA, 770 nt
Filed under: Pan troglodytes (chimpanzee)
Lineage: Eukaryota; Metazoa; Chordata; Mammalia; Primates; Hominidae
Description: retained intron
Source: RNAcentral
AGAGACUGCGCCUGCGCGGGCACGAGACAACCUCUCCGCGAUGACUGCCAGCUCAGUAGAGCAGCUGCGGAAGGAGGGCAAUGAGCUGUUCAAAUGUGGAGACUACGGGGGCGCUCUGGCGGCCUACACUCAGGCCCUGGGUCUGGACGCGACGCCCCAGGACCAGGCCAUUCUGCACCGGAACCGGGCCGCCUGCCACCUCAAGCUGGAAGAUUACGACAAAGCAGAAACAGAGGCAUCCAAAGGUAGGGGAAUGGUGGGCCCUGGUGUGGAGCUGUAGGGCUUCUGUGGUGGGCAAGGACUCUGGGACCGCUGCACCGUCACAUUCUCCUCCUUUGGCCCCAGAGACACAUCUGCCUUCUUUCUUUCCCACUGCCUCGGGCCUUUCCUUUUCUGCAGCUACCCUCACCUUUUCUGAGGCUGAAGCACCGAGCCCCACAUUCGUCCCCCCCACCUUCUUCUGGCCUUUCCUCGAGAUCUUUCCCUACUGCUCUUGCCUGGAGACAGUGGCCUCAUGGGUGCUGACAGCGCUCCUGUUUGUGCUCAGCCAUUGAAAAGGAUGGUGGGGAUGUCAAAGCACUCUACCGGCGGAGCCAAGCCCUAGAGAAGCUGGGCCGCCUGGACCAGGCUGUCCUUGACCUGCAGAGAUGUGUGAGCUUGGAGCCCAAGAACAAAGUUUUCCAGGAGGCCUUGCGGAACAUCGGGGGCCAGAUUCAGGAGAAGGUGCGAUACAUGUCCUCGACGGAUGCCAAAGUGGAACAGAUGUUUCA